Molecule: ribosomal RNA, 448 nt
Filed under: uncultured organism
Description: bacterial SSU rRNA
Rfam family: Bacterial small subunit ribosomal RNA
Source: RNAcentral
GCGCAGCAGUCGAGAAUUUCUCAAUGGGCGAAAGCCUGAAGGAGCGACGCCGCGUGGAGGAUGAAGGCCUUCGGGUUGUAACUCCUGUCAUUUGAGAACAAGUGUCGGCAAGUAACUACUGCCGACUUGAUAGUAUCAGAAGAGGAAGGGACGGCUAACUCUGUGCCAGCAGCCGCGGUAAUACAGAGGUCCCAAGCGUUGUUCGGAUUCAUUGGGCGUAAAGGGUGCGUAGGUGGCGCCAUAAGUCAGGUGUGAAAUUUCGGGGCUUAACUCCGAAACUGCAUUUGAUACUGUGGUGCUUGAGGACUGGAGAGGAGACUGGAAUUUACGGUGUAGCAGUGAAAUGCGUAGAGAUCGUAAGGAAGACCAGUGGCGAAGGCGGGUCUCUGGACAGUUCCUGACACUGAGGCACGAAGGCCAGGGGAGCAAACGGGAUUAGAUACCCCCG